This 315-nucleotide ribosomal RNA is filed under the name uncultured marine eukaryote. Its description in RNAcentral is "SSU rRNA". It matches the Rfam family "Eukaryotic small subunit ribosomal RNA", at positions 619 to 936 of the family's 1831-position model. The record is from RNAcentral.
UUAAAAAGCUCGUAGUUGGAUUUCUGCUGAGGACGACCGGUCCGCCCUUCGGGUGAGUAUCUGGUUUGGCCUUGGCAUCUUCUUGGUGAACGUAUCUGCACUUGACUGUGUGGUGCGGUACCCAGGACUUUUACUUUGAGGAAAUUAGAGUGUUUCAAGCAGGCAUACGCCUUGAAUACAUUAGCAUGGAAUAAUAAGAUAGGACCUCGGUUCUAUUUUGUUGGUUUCUAGAGCUGAGGUAAUGAUUAAUAGGGAUAGUUGGGGGCAUUCGCAUUUAACUGUCAGAGGGUGAAAUUCUUGGAUUUGGUUAAGGAC